This 156-nucleotide ribosomal RNA is filed under the name Ophiocordyceps sinensis. Its description in RNAcentral is "5.8S ribosomal RNA". It matches the Rfam family "5.8S ribosomal RNA". Rfam says of the family: 5.8S ribosomal RNA (5.8S rRNA) is a component of the large subunit of the eukaryotic ribosome. It is transcribed by RNA polymerase I as part of the 45S precursor that also contains 18S and 28S rRNA. Functionally, it is thought that 5.8S rRNA may be involved in ribosome translocation. Lineage: Eukaryota; Fungi; Ascomycota; Sordariomycetes; Hypocreales; Ophiocordycipitaceae. The record is from RNAcentral.
AACUUUCAGCAACGGAUCUCUUGGUUCUGGCAUCGAUGAAGAACGCAGCGAAAUGCGAUAAGUAAUGUGAAUUGCAGAAUUCAGUGAACCAUCGAAUCUUUGAACGCACAUUGCGCCCGCCAGCACUCUGGCGGGCAUGCCUGUCCGAGCGUCAUC